CAUGUGUGGUAUAUGUUUGUGCAGGUGGCCAUGCCCCUUCUUUGAUUCGUCAUCACCUUGUGCCCAUUUGUGAUUGCAGAGUCACUGCCUCAAAUCUGCUUCUUAUUUGGUUUGACGGGGGAAGAGAUGAUGGAGCUCAUUGAUGCAUUUCCAAAAUCUCUACAUGUAUGUAAAAGUCGUAUCAAGAAAAAAAAGAAAAAGAAAAAGAAAAAGAAAAAGAGGAAUGGAUCAUUUCUUUUAAAGAUGAGUACAUUGUAUAAUAUUUAGUAACUGAUUCUAACGAUCAAUCAACUGUACCACCUUUACACAAUGCCAUGCCAGCUUCACUUUCA
Long non-coding RNA from Brassica napus (rape), 332 nucleotides. RefSeq lists it as uncharacterized. The record is from RefSeq and is a predicted model, not a curated record. The transcript is spliced from 2 exons. NCBI's taxonomy places the organism in Eukaryota, Viridiplantae, Streptophyta, Magnoliopsida, Brassicales, Brassicaceae.